This is a long non-coding RNA of Cervus elaphus (red deer), 404 nucleotides long. RefSeq lists it as uncharacterized. The transcript has 4 exons. The record is from RefSeq and is a predicted model, not a curated record. Lineage: Eukaryota; Metazoa; Chordata; Mammalia; Artiodactyla; Cervidae.
AGAUUGAUGGUGUCCUGGAAAAUGAGAGCUUUCCAAAAAGAUCUAAAGAACAGCUAAUAAUCAUGGCUAUUCAAACUGUGUCCCAUGGACCAGCAGCAUUGACAUUACCUGGGAGCUUGUUCAAAAUGCAGAAUCUUGGGCCGCAGCCCAGACCUACUGAAUCAAAAGCUACAUUUAACAAGAUAACCCAGGCUCCUUCCCUCCGGAUUUCAUUCUGUUUAUAAAUAUUGAAGCUGAAAUGUAAACCACUUUGAAACUCUUCUCCCGAAGGCCUGCAUGUCCUGUUCCUGGAACAGUAGGACCGCAAAAGGCAACUGGGUAUCUUGUAAUGCCACCUCCGAGCUGAGUGAUCCAGGGCACACUGCUUCCAAUGUCUGAGCCCCAGUUUCCCCAUCACUAAGGUG